Molecule: non-coding RNA, 601 nt
Organism: Chiloscyllium plagiosum (whitespotted bambooshark)
Lineage: Eukaryota; Metazoa; Chordata; Chondrichthyes; Orectolobiformes; Hemiscylliidae
Source: RefSeq, a predicted model, not a curated record
UGAAUAUAACCUGAGAAGAACUGAGGCAAAGUAUUGCAAGUUGUUAUUAGAUGCAGAACGAGAAUGGAGAAGCUCUUUCGAGGGUGUGGUGCACAUCAGAACAGUAACUAAUUUGGGACAAGUGCCAAGCAUUUGUGGGCAGAGAUCAAACAGGAAACCUGCUGACUAAGAGCACUUAAGAUGACACAACACGAGGGAAACCAGGGAAUCCUGGAAUAUCCGCUAAGUGAACUAAAAUAGCCACUCCAAACACACCAGCCACAGUCAAACAUGUUACCCACCUGGAAGCAUCCAAAAUGUAGCCAGUCAUUUAAAGGUGACUGAUCGAAUCAACAACACACAGAGGCCAUUGGUUAAUGCGGAGCAAAGAAUGAUUUCAGCAUACAGCGGCUGGAAUCAUGGACAAGACUUUUCCAGUUGGAUUCAGGGCAAUGCAGAAGUCACAGAUGAAAGUCAAAAGGCCAUUGUUGCAUGCAGUGAAAGACCUGGAGGCAACUUGAAAAUUACAGUCAGCCACAGAUAGUGGUACUCAAUACACUAUUAGCUAGCUGAAUUGGCUACUGGUUGCUCGUGAGCAAGACGCCCAAUUGACAAUCCUCCC